UUUGCUGGGUGCUUAUAGCACUUCUUAUCAUUACUACACCCUAGAACUCAGAUGAGCAUUCAUUUCUCAAUCAUUUGGGUUCAACACAGAGAGAAGAGAUGGCGGCACUAGUGGUAUGAGAGGAAGAGAAAUCGAGAGAAUUCAAGGACAGAUUGAGGAGAUGAAGAACUGAAUUUGAUGAUGUUCAAUGAUGGAGAACCAAAAGGGGUUUGUUGUUAAUUACAGAUCCAGUGAAGAACACAAAGAAAGGGGAUCUGAAGCAGAGUUAGGGUUUCUAAAGCUCAAAUUAAUGAGAUGGAAUUGAGAAUGGGUUUGAAUCUGCGAUUCAGAUGAAGCUGAGCAGUUAAUUAGGAGAAUGGUGAUUUGGGUUAGCUCCAAAGAUGAAUUUACAGAAGAAGGAAGUUAGGGUAUUGUUCUGUUGAAAUUCAGGGGAAAUUGAAGAAAAUCUGGUGAGAUUGUUGUUGAGUUUUUGAACUGAAUCAAAUCGAGUAGUUGAUAAUAAGGGUUCGUGGUUGUGGUGAUGAAUUGGUGGAUGGGUUCGAUUUGCAAGUCUGAGACAAGGAAGAACCUGGUGAUACACUGAAAUUGGUUGAGUAGAUGAGUCAUAUGAUGUGCAAAAGGAACUGACGAUGAGCUGCAGUGGUUGAGCUAAGAAGAAUGGAUGCGUUUGGAACUGAUUUACAGAUGCUCAUGGUGGAGGUUUGAGGAAUUGGUAAUGCAGAUUGAGACCACGAACAACAGGAUACAGGGAAUGACUGAAUAGAACGGUAGUUGAGUUAAUGGUGCAGGAAUGGCUAAAAUGAAGAUUGCUUUUGCAAGUGAUCAGAAUUGAGCUGCAAUGAACUUGCUGGUGAUUGCAGCUCACAGUGAUUGAAGUGAUGAAGCUUUGUUGGUGGUUUAGCUGCUUGCAGCUGAGAUAGGUUAUGUGCAGAUGGUGUUUGAGUUUUGGAUGGUUGGUUUAAGCUGAACUGGAGACGAAUUUGUUGCUCAAGUUGUUGCAGCUGAGAAAAAUGAAUCUGAGAGUUCAAGAAGUGAUGUUCAUGGUAUGGACUAGAUUGUUCAGGUGCAGGUCUGAAUGAUUGCAGGUUGAGUUAAUGUUGCAGUUCUGCUGGUACUGGAAGGAAGUUCAAGGAGGUGGUGAUUCUGGUGUUUUGAAUAAGAGAUGAAUGUAUGCUGCUGGAGAGUUAGGUUGUGGUGUUGCAGUGAUGGUUGAGCUGAGAUUGCAUGCAAGAAUGAAAUAGGAGGAUGUGAACCUAUACUGCAAUGGAUUGAUGGUCCCAGAGAAUCAAGACAUAAGCUGUGAAGUGUGCAACUGAGAAGACAUGGCAGUGGUAGUAUGACUGAGAUCGUGAUCUUCAGAUGAAGAAAUUGGUAAGAUGGGUCUGGAGGUAAUGGUAGCAGUGGCAGUGAAGUUACAGGGAUUGGUGUUGCUAAUGGGAGUGAUUGUGUACAGCAUGAAGAGAUAUUUGGACAGAAUGGAACUGUGGUAUGCACAUCCAUGAUGGAUGGAUUGAAGCGUGAUGAUGGUGCAACACAAUCUCAAGACAAUGCAAAUGGCUCAGGCCUGGGCCAAGACCAUUCAGCCCAGUUAGCCGAGUCAGUAGCUGACUCUGACAUUGACUCGGUCUGACUUUCUGAGUUAGUCCAGUUGAACCGAGUCGACUCAGUUGACUUGACUGAGUUGAGUUUUGACCGGUGACCGGGUAGAUUUUGCCGGUUACCUGAGUUGUUUUCCGAUCACUUUGCCGGCCAAUUUCCGACGCUGGUACCAGCUUUUCGCCGACAUGUUUUUGGCAGAAUUUCUACAUGGGUUUUUCUCACAUAUGGGCUUGAUGAAUUUUUAUUUAAUGUACUUUGAAGACUAGACCUAAUUUCGGGAAGCAAAGGAUUAUAAAAGAAAGACUUCUACAACUUGGAUAUCACGUAUUAUUUUCUACUUGGAGCUUUGGAGAGAACUUCUUCUAGGGUUUACUUUCGUUUGUUUUCAUCUUCUUUAUUUUAUUGAUUAUGAUUAUGAUGAACUCCAUUAUUAUGAGUAACUAAAUACUAUUAUUGGUUA
This is a long non-coding RNA of Papaver somniferum (opium poppy), 2059 nucleotides long. RefSeq lists it as uncharacterized. The record is from RefSeq and is a predicted model, not a curated record. NCBI's taxonomy places the organism in Eukaryota, Viridiplantae, Streptophyta, Magnoliopsida, Ranunculales, Papaveraceae. The transcript has 2 exons.